GUCCAUCAGGAAGACUGAAAAGGCGCGGGAACAAAACCACGCCCUGCCAAUCAAAGCAGGUUUUAGCUGCCCUCGUCCCACGCCUGUGCUGGGACACCUGGGCAGGGAACAAAGACGGCGCAUUGCGCCUCCUCCCGCUGCUCUAAGGACUCUCCGAGGGUGUCCUGCUGGCUCGCGCCGACCGUUAGCCGCGAGGGUAGCGCCACGCGCCCGUCCGUUACAUUGUCCUCCCUCACAGCGCCGCGUGGGGGCAGGAGGGAGCGCGGCUCUCGCCGGCGGAGGUUGCCAGCCAAAGCUUCCAAGCUAUUUUUGAAGAGUUCCUGCAUGCUGAGAAGUGUUUGUCACAGUACACUGCAGAGAAUUCUGUUCAUGGAGUGAGGCCUUUCGGGAGGAUUCUUUGAUGAAAGGUAUCUCAAGAGGUAUCACAGAAUCAUAAACUAAUUGAGGACAGUGAACUUCUGGAGAUCACCGUUCAACCACCCCUCCUGAAGCAGUGUCAGUUAGAGAAGGUUGCCCAGGACUGUGUCAUUGGAUUUUGAAUAUCCCCAAGAAUAAACUCCACAGCCUCUCUGAACUACCUGUCUCAUCUCUCAUCCUCCCACUGGGUACCACUGAGAAGAGCCUGGCUGCAUUAUUCUUGCAUCUUCCCAUCAGGUUGGUUUGUUUGUUAUUUUUUCUAGUUACUAAGCAUCUAAUUUGAAUCAACUGUGGGAAAAGAAAGCAUUGAAGGUGCUGUGACACCUGGAAAUUGUCUGAAUGAAAACAAUUCUGAUACUUGUGUAGCAUUUGGUGUCUAUUGUAAAUCUGGCAAACCUGCCUAAAGAAAUGUGUACAGAACAGACGGAAUCUUUAACUUAUCUGCAGUGGCUCCACUGGCUAAACUUGCACUCUCUGCUAAUGGUCUGCCCUAACCAGAAAUAUGCUGAUGUCCAGCCACAUCUCUAAGACAAUAAAUCCCAGCUUUUCUAACAUCAAUUGGAACCACUGAAUUUGCUAUUCUACUGACAGCGACAAUUCUUGUCUUGAACAACUUAAGCAAUGAAGUCUCCUAGAGGAGAGAGCCUCACUCAAAUUUCAGUGAAAGUAUCAACUUUGAGAGAAUGACAUCAAGAAAAGAGGAGGAAUCAAAUCCACUCUUCCAUUGCUGUGUAAUUAAUUCAACAAUCUGGCAAAUAUGCAGGAAAAUGCAGAUGAGCCUACAACAUCCAAUGGUAAAAAUGGUUCAGUACACAACGAAAGAAAUUUCUGUGCAACCACAAAAAAAAACCACUGAUCACUCACUGAAAAAAAAGUCACAUAACAUAUAAUCCCUUAUAAGUGUGACAGCAAACUAGAAUCUGAGACAGAAUCUACUUACAUACUGCUCACAGAAGUCACUGUUCAGUGACUUCUUUAGAUACAAAUAGGAUUGCCAUUAUCUCCUUUUAAUUCUGUUGAUUGCUAGUGAGUGGCACUGACUUGUUUACAAUUAAAUGAGUAUAUGAAGGUCAAAUGAUUGAAGUUAAAUCAAAUAAACUUGACACUGUGUCUAUUAAAGAGAACUAGAUGACAUAUCCAAGGUUUGCCAGUAUUACGAAUUCAUAACCAAAAAUCUUGACUGCAGCUAUACUACUCAAACAAGCAAGUAGCACAUGUGAUCAGAAACAUAUCUCAGUUAAGCUUAAGAAUAUGGUCUUUUUCAAGAGUUUGCCUUGACAAUUAUCUAAUCAUACUUUCAACAUUUCAAGAUGAGACUAUUAGAAUGAAUUGUGCCUAAGUCUAUUUCUUAACAUUGCUCAGAAACUAGAACUGUUUCUGACAUUUUUCUUCUUUAAUAAGUGAAUUAUCAAGAUUCUAGGUAGCUGGUAUAAAUGUCAGAAAGCUUUCAAAUAAACCUAAGGAUGCUGAUUCUUCCAUGAGAAGACUGCAAUAAUACAACGUCUGCCAAUUAAAGAAAGCCUCACUUUUCUCAGGACAGGGCUUCACGGACACAUAGGACUGAAGAAAAUGAAUAAAUAAAUGCAUAGAGGGAGAACAUUUAGAGUUUUUUCUUCCCCACGCUGGAAUUUUAUUUUGUCUUUAUUUCAAACUAGCUUAAAAUUUAUCUACACAAAUAGCAUCUUACAACAGCCAUUUGUUUCUCCUGAGUGGAAUAAUUGGGAAAAGUCAAACUCAAUUAGAUUUGAACUAUUGAAGCAUCCAAGUUUAUGCAUGUCAAGACAGUUGUGAAAAGUACAACCCUUUGCACAUAUGCAGAGCACCCUGAGCCUCUUUGUUGCUGUUAUUUUAAAAUAAGUGCAUUUAUUAAGAACUGAUGUUAACUUUAAUGUAGGAAAGGGUAGAAAGAGAAAAAAAAUAAGUUAUACAUUAAAUCAACAAUAACAUUAAGAAAUUCAGACAUCUUAGAAUAAUUUUUCUUUGUAUAUAUACAUCCCCCCCCAGUUGAAUGGUAUGACUUUAGUAAACCAUGAGCAUUACAAUUGAUGAUAUUGACUACUUUAGUAAUGUUUUUCACCUAACUUAUAUUUUCAACCUCCAAAGUUAAACAAAAUGUCAUUUUUGAAUUUUUCAAAUUAAAAGCAAAAAAUAUUCUGCUACUGGGAGAUGGCACUGUGGAAACACAAACUUCCUGAAAUAGAUAUAUUUUUAAAAAGAGCAAGAAAAUGAAAUACUACUCUAAUUGUUCGCUCGUUCUAUCAAACUUCUAAAACACAGUAUUAUACUAUACAGUACUAUUGAAGCCCGUCUGACAACUUAAAGAUCAGACUUCUAUUACACAUUCUUUUCAAUAGCUUGAUGAUGAACAUCUCUGAAAAUACUUUCUUUUGCUUAAACAUAAGCUCCUAGUUUUUUAAGUACUGCUAAGACUACAAGGAACAAGCUAAAUGUAGCCUCAUUAAAUCAAAUUUAUGAUAAUACCAUCCAAAUGAAGCUGCAGUUAUCACUAUUCACAAUCAUUCAGCUAAAUGAUUUCCCAAGGAGAUGUCCCAAAAUAAUACAGCUGUCACAGUUAAACAUGUUCCAGCAACAAAGCCAUACUGUACUGUGAUUCUUCAACAAGAAAAAAUUUUACUAGGAUGCUCCACAUCAAGUUUUUGGUUUAUGAAAUUGGGGAGAUUGUUGAUUUUUUUUUGUUUUUUUUUAAAUAUACAGUCAUAUAAUUAGUAGAGGUGCAUAUCUGUAUUUUCAGACCACAGACUGUUUUACAUUCCAUACUGACAGUCAGCACUACACUCUUCAAAGCCCUGAAAUUCACACAGGUAUUUUUAAACAUAAUUACCACAAAACACAUCAACUUGUAUUCAAAAUGCACAGUCUCAUACAUUUCAGUCUGGGAUCAAUCACCUUACGCAAUAGAUAUUUUAAUCUUCAGAAGGACUCAAAAAACUUACGUCCAUGUCAUGGUUUUAUGAUUUUUGGUUAUCAGUAUUCCACAUCAUAACAUCAUGCAGUGUACAGGGAGUUAAAGAGCAGAUGUUCUAGUUCCGGGUACUUGUCCAGAAGAGAAGAACUAUGUUCCCCAGAAGACUGUUCGAAUACUGUUAUCAUUCCUGCUCAGGUGAACAGGUAAGGCCUGUAGGUCACCUGACCUGGGUCUUCUUCUCGUCGUGCUCACUUUCAGAUUGUCUCACUGCUGCUCCCGACUGCACACAAGGCUUCAGUAUUAGUGUAAGGCCUUUAGCUCCUGGACAGUCCUUCUCUCAAUUAUAUUUGAUUUUAUUAACAAUUAUAUUGAAUUGUAUUGUAUUAUAGUGUGUUAUCGUGCAUUCUGAUAUUGUAUUUAAUAGAUUAGUUUGGUUCUCCUCAGAUCAUUGCUGCUGUUUUUUUAAUUAUUCUUUUUUUGGGUUGGGGGAGGGGUCCCUGUUUCCCUUUUCUGGAGGCGCAGAUUUUGAAAAAAAAAAACCCUCCGCUCCACUAGUCACAGAACCAGGCCAGACCAGCCCAUAAACCAUCAACAGUUCAGCUUAGCACAUAGGCAAGCAGGAUACGAGUUUGCACUCAGGUUUUUUGUUUGUUUGUUUGUUUUUAAGGCAGAGCAACGAGGAUAAAAAGCAAAGAGAGAUAGAUGACAUAUAUUUGAACGUUCCAUUUCAAAGACUGUAGCUUCUCAUAGAUCUGAUAUACUUCUGCCCAGUUACAAUUAGAAAUGUAAGCAGCAAUUUCAUGUUAUCCUCUCUUGCUUGAAAUACUGCUCUCCCGUGUACACAAAAUAAUUUUGACAUGUUUUCUUCUGUUGUAUGAAUUCCAUUCAUAUAUAAUCAUUCACUUCAAACUAUAGUGUAACUAUUAUAUUACAGAGAUAUAGUUAUGAGCUCUAUCAAAAGAAUUCUUAAUGCUUCCCUUGAUUUAAAAAGCAUACUCCACUCUCUUUACCUGUAA
Gallus gallus (chicken) is the source of this 4359-nucleotide long non-coding RNA. RefSeq lists it as uncharacterized. The transcript has 9 exons. NCBI's taxonomy places the organism in Eukaryota, Metazoa, Chordata, Aves, Galliformes, Phasianidae. The record is from RefSeq and is a predicted model, not a curated record.